CUCCAAAGUGCCAAGGAAAAAUCUUGCCUUUGUUUUCCCUCAACAUGAAUCCUCCCAAGGAGGGAAUUUCUGGUACAAAGAAAUGCAAACUGCGCGAGGGCGUGAGCAGAACAUCAAUGGUAGCCGGAAACUGGGAGAAGAUGUCAAACCGCUUGAGCCGCUAACCAUGUCAGGGCAAGAAGAGGGCAAGCCACCGACAGCCACAGCCUAGCCGAGAGGGUCAGGAGAGAAAAGAUCGAUGAGA
This is a long non-coding RNA of Zingiber officinale, 244 nucleotides long. RefSeq lists it as uncharacterized. The record is from RefSeq and is a predicted model, not a curated record. The transcript has 3 exons. Lineage: Eukaryota; Viridiplantae; Streptophyta; Magnoliopsida; Zingiberales; Zingiberaceae.